Molecule: long non-coding RNA, 1751 nt
Organism: Gadus macrocephalus (Pacific cod)
Lineage: Eukaryota; Metazoa; Chordata; Actinopteri; Gadiformes; Gadidae
Exons: 2
Source: RefSeq, a predicted model, not a curated record
UUCCCCUCAGCGAGGCUUGGAGGACUGCCAACACCAAACACACACACAAACACACACACACACAAACACACGCGCCUAAAAACACACACACACACACACAAGAAUGGAAGGCAGCGGAGCAGCUGUUUACGUGCAGGUGUGGGCCAAUUAAACAGAGCAAGCAAUUGACAUGUGUUCCUGUAUGCGAGUCCUGUGUAAGCAAAAUCUGUAUUCUGCAAAUGAGAUGUAUUCAUAAGUCCUACGUACACAGACAACAACAUGGUGCCAUUCACAAACCACCAAUAGGAUUUCACAUGCUUGUGUGUGUGUCUGUGUGUGUGUCUGUGUGUGUGUGCGUGCGUGUGCGUGUGUGUGUGUGUGUGUGUGUGUGUGUGUUUCCUCAUUUCAAUGUGCUGUUUUGGGUUUUGAGUUGUGUUUUAGAUGCAAGUUCGAUUUUUCUUAUUCAGCUUCAGAGGUUCUGGAUUGGAUGAAGAGACAAAAUGAAAACUGGCAUAGACACAACACACAUAUAAUGUGGCCUGGUCCCAAUGUGGAUGUGGUCAAAACAAACUGAAACAUUGAAGCAAUGAGGAUGCUGACCCACGAUUGGUCUCUUCCUUUGUGCAUUCCAUUGUUCCCUCUGUUUAGUUUGAUGUUGCAUCUUCUAGGCUCAUACCUGAGGAUUUUCUCUCUCUGUCUGUCUCUGUCUCCGUCUCUGUCUCUCUUUCUCUGUGUGUCUCUCUCUCCCUAGGUCACUGUCUAUGUUACUGCCUGUUUUAAUCUCCUUCUUUCUCGCCCCUCCAGGUGAGAAGGAGGCAGGUGGGGCCUGGCCCUCUCUCCGCCCCCCCCCCUCCCCUCGCCGGCCCCCUCCUCCACAGGUGGCCGUUCUGGGGGACUCUUCCUCCAUCUCCGCGGCUCACCUUUCGCCUCUGACCCUGACCUCCCUGCUCUUCCUGUCUCUGCUCCUAUCGCUACGGCAACCGCUCUGAGUGGGACCAGGAGCAUUUAAUGAAGACUGGCAGAAAAGAAUAAAGAAAGGAGAAGAAGAAGGGACCGUGACAACGCCUCAGUAGAAGUGUGUGUGCGCGCACGCGUGCGUAUGUGCGUGUGUGUGUGUGUGUGUGUGUGUGUGUGUGUGUGUGGACGGACAUUAGGAAGACACCCACGAUGAAGGCACGCAGGAAGAGGUUCAGCAGAGUGAAGAACAUGGACAGAAGCGGACUCCAUUUUGUGUCGCAGGCGUGUUCAGGACGUUCCUGGUAUAGCCCAUAGGGAACCCUGCUGUCAACCGAGAUUUAGUUACCUUUUAUACGCGGACGUCCCAGUCUGAUGAGAAGCUGUCUCGUCUGAGGACAAGGUGUCUCGUCUGAGGAACAGACGUCCAGUCAGAGGACAAGCUGUCCACUCCGAGGAGAAGCUGUCUCGUCUGAAGACAAGCUGGCAAUGAUUCCUGCCGGGGACAGUUGUUCUCUUUAUGUCCUAUUACCUAGCCUACUUACCCUCUUGUAUAUAUACACGUUUAUUUAACAUUGUUUAAUAGUUUGCACAGCACUACUGACUUUUUGAAGACAAAUGUAAAUACACAUAUUUAUAUGUACAACUCUAUAUUCAAGCAAUUGUUUGGUGUGGUUAUUCUCAGUCGCACACUUGGAACUGUCUAGUCGCAAUUUUUUAAUCUUCAUGCCAUAAAGCAUCAUUCUAUGAAUGUGAUUAACCCUGAAAUGCAAUUUUUCAGUUUCUGAACAAAUAAACAAAAAACAUUAUGAAAUUUA